RNAcentral lists this long non-coding RNA (250 nucleotides) under Malus domestica (apple). Its description in RNAcentral is "long non-coding RNA (MDOM_LNC010483)". The record is from RNAcentral. Lineage: Eukaryota; Viridiplantae; Streptophyta; Magnoliopsida; Rosales; Rosaceae.
GGUCCAUCCUUGGUCUCAAGUCUAGAUCAAGAGGUAUAAGACUAAACCUUCACUUUGUUCUUCUCUAAAAUGUUAUGAUGCAUUAUAUAUAAACCUAUGAACCUUGAAGGGGAUUUGCAUGACUAUAGCUUUGAUAAUUUGUGUUAAAUGCUUCCGCUGCUUUCGUAUAUUAAAUUUGAUUUGUAUAUGCAUGAUAGUCAUUUUGAAAUCCCUAUGUGUAAAACUCAUAAUUUUCCCUUCACCACGUUUA